Molecule: ribosomal RNA, 447 nt
Filed under: uncultured bacterium
Lineage: Bacteria
Description: bacterial SSU rRNA
Rfam family: Bacterial small subunit ribosomal RNA
Source: RNAcentral
UUCCAGACUCCUACGGGAGGCAGCAGUGGGGAAUAUUGCACAAUGGGGGAAACCCUGAUGCAGCGACGCCGCGUGAGUGAAGAAGUAUUUCGGUAUGUAAAGCUCUAUCAGCAGGGAAGAUAAUGACGGUACCUGACUAAGAAGCCCCGGCUAACUACGUGCCAGCAGCCGCGGUAAUACGUAGGGGGCAAGCGUUAUCCGGAUUUACUGGGUGUAAAGGGUGCGUAGGUGGCAGGGCAAGUCAGAUGUGAAAGCCCGGGGCUCAACCCCGGUACUGCAUUUGAAACUGUCCAGCUGGAGUGCAGGAGAGGUAAGCGGAAUUCCUAGUGUAGCGGUGAAAUGCGUAGAUAUUAGGAGGAACACCAGUGGCGAAGGCGGCUUACUGGACUGUAACUGACACUGAGGCACGAAAGCGUGGGGAGCAAACAGGAUUAGAUACCCGCGUAA